Molecule: ribosomal RNA, 492 nt
Filed under: uncultured bacterium
Lineage: Bacteria
Description: partial 16S ribosomal RNA
Rfam family: Bacterial small subunit ribosomal RNA
Source: RNAcentral
AGUGAACGCUGGCGGUAGGCCUAACACAUGCAAGUCGAACGGCAGCACAGUAAGAGCUUGCUCUUACGGGUGGCGAGUGGCGGACGAGUGAGGAAUACAUCGGAAUCUACUUUUUCGUGGGGGAUAACGUAGGGAAACUUACGCUAAUACCGCAUACGACCUACGGGUGAAAGCAGGGGAUCUUCGGACCUUGCGCGAUUGAAUGAGCAGAUGUCGGAUUAGCUAGUUGGCGGGGUAAAGGCCCACCAAGGCGACGAUCCGUAGCUGGUCUGAGAGGAUGAUCAGCCACACUGGAACUGAGACACGGUCCAGACUCCUACGGGAGGCAGCAGUGGGGAAUAUUGGACAAUGGGCGCAAGCCUGAUCCAGCCAUACCGCGUGGGUGAAGAAGGCCUUCGGGUUGUAAAGCCCUUUUGUUGGGAAAGAAAAGCAGCAGGUUAAUACCCCGCUGUUCUGACGGUACCCAAAGAAUAAGCACCGGCUAACUUCGUG